GAUGAACGCUGGCGGCGUGCCUAAUACAUGCAAGUCGAGCGAAUGGAUUAAGAGCUUGCUCUUAUGAAGUUAGCGGCGGACGGGUGAGUAAUACGUGGGUAACCUGCCCAUAAGACUGGGAUAACUCCGGGAAACCGGGGCUAAUACCGGAUAACAUUUUGAACCGCAUGGUUCGAAAUUGAAAGGCGGCUUCGGCUGUCACUUAUGGAUGGACCCGCGUCGCAUUAGCUAGUUGGUGAGGUAACGGCUCACCAAGGCAACGAUGCGUAGCCGACCUGGUAGGGUGAUCGGCCACACUGGGACUGAGACACGGCCCAGACUCCUGCGGGAGGCAGCAGUAGGGAAUCUUCCGCAAUGGACGAAAGUCUGACGGAGCAACGCCGCGUGAGUGAUGAGGGCUUUCGGGUCGUAAAACUCUGUUGUUAGGGAAGAACAAGUGCUAGUUGAAUAAGCUGACACCUUGACGGUACCUAACCAGAAAGCCACGGCUAACUACGUGCCAGCCGCCGCCGUAA
This 515-nucleotide ribosomal RNA is filed under the name uncultured bacterium. RNAcentral's name for it is "partial 16S ribosomal RNA". It matches the Rfam family "Bacterial small subunit ribosomal RNA", at positions 28 to 523 of the family's 1533-position model. The record is from RNAcentral.